CCCCGUGGUUUUGUCGACCCGCACUUCUAUCGCAGUGUACCAGUUUUCUUCGCCGGCAAGUAAUAGGGGAUUAAUUAGUCUUUUAGUUUUUAGUUAAGGUCCCUUUUGUCUUUUUUUUUGAGCUAACGGUGGCAGAGCCGCAGCAGCAGCGGGCCGAGUGCGCGAGGUUGGAUCGGGAUCGGGAUCGGGAGGGACGGUCAACUACCACCCGCCCGACGCUCUAGACAUCCCGAGCAACCGAAAGCGGCCGCCCUCCUCUACCUCCGGCCCUUGCUGCCGGGCUGCUGCGGCCACAACGAGUUGCAUAUGCUGGAGUGCGGGCAGUUGCUAAUGGAGAUGACCGAGCCGAAGCCGCAGAAGGUGAGGCCUUAGCUUCAAGUACCGUACCUUAUACCUAAACCUCGUGUACUAAAGAGUAGGUCGCCACAUAAACUCCACCUUAGCUUUACAACGGGACCUAAACAGAUAUCUUUCUGCCACAGCGAUCCGUGUUGACUGUACAGAGCCCUUCUAAAGGCGAGCAAGUAACUUUCUGAACGUCCCUUCAUAGUACCGUUAUGUAUAUUAAACUAACGCUUCUUGACGUUAGUAAAGUGUCUACUACAGACAUCCUUGAACUGACCUUUUGGGUAGGGACCGACCCACUUAUCCAACCGGUCUCAUCCGAGUCAAAAACUGACGGAUGAUGGUCUUUCACAGGUUCAAAGAGGACAACCUGCACAGGGUUGAGAAGCAGGUCAAUAACUACUACUAAACCUAAGCCAUAGAAGAAGCUUGUCGCUACUCCCACUACUCCUGUUCGUGGACAACCUUCGUGGUAGGUGACUGAACGUUGGACAUCUUCACGGUAAUUUCGAUCGGUUUCUAGAAGAAACUGUACAAGGUACGAAAAAAAAAAGACGUUUUAACUGUAUAAUGUUGACGUUGGUGACCUCAGGUCCCGCUACUACGCUACAAAGACCCACCAAACUCACUGUCCAGCCUUGGCACCUCGAACGGUGACCAUGUUGGAUAGUGAAAAGUGUCUCAAAACGGAAAGAUCGUCCACAUGUCUAUCCUUAACCGGUAGAACAGGUUUUCUAUUCAGAUCAAUGAACAACAAAUGGUCAAGCGCGUCACUGACAACAUAGUAUGAGUCUUUUACAACUCGGACCAUGACUACAAUCAGACAUAUAAAAUAAUUUGCUCGACCUUACCCUUACAAACGGAACCGCUACGAGCGGACUCGGAACAUUACUUUAAGGUACAGGAACGAUAGUAUCCGGACAGCAGAGGUACAUG
RNAcentral lists this ribosomal RNA (1281 nucleotides) under Triticum aestivum (bread wheat). RNAcentral's name for it is "partial small subunit ribosomal RNA". Lineage: Eukaryota; Viridiplantae; Streptophyta; Magnoliopsida; Poales; Poaceae. The record is from RNAcentral.